UACGUAGGGUGCAAGCGUUGUCCGGAAUUAUUGGGCGUAAAGAGCUCGUAGGCGGUUUGUCGCGUCUGGUGUGAAAAUCCAGGGCUUAACCCUGGACCUGCAUCGGGUACGGGCAGACUAGAGUGCGGUAGGGGAGAUCGGAAUUCCUGGUGUAGCGGUGAAAUGCGCAGAUAUCAGGAGGAACACCAAUUGCGAAGGCAGCUCGCUGGGACGUUACUGACGCUGAGACGCGAAAGCGUGGGGAGCAAACAGG
This 253-nucleotide ribosomal RNA is filed under the name uncultured bacterium. RNAcentral's name for it is "partial 16S ribosomal RNA". It matches the Rfam family "Bacterial small subunit ribosomal RNA", at positions 524 to 776 of the family's 1533-position model. The record is from RNAcentral.